UCAGAUAGUUGAGGAAAAACAGUCUCUGGGCUGAGGCUUCAACUGAUAAAAACGUAAAAUAUACUGAAGAUUCCGAGUAACUGAACUAAUAGGUCCUCUCAAAGCUCUAAAAAAGAUCAGAUUUUUCUGCUCAUCGCUCAUUCUGAUCUUUUUUGCUCGGCUGUGCGCAUGCGAUUUCGCUCAAAAUCAGAUUUUCUUGCUCAACAAAAAAAUCGAGUUUUGGGUUGAUUUUCUCUCUCAUAAUCCUGCUCAUUCUGCUCCACAUCAGCACAUCAGCUGUUUGUUUACUUAAAUUUUUCAUUUAAAAAUUAAGCAAAGUUUUCUAAAACAUAUUCUUUAUCAUUAUGGGUCCCAAGACCAAGGUUUAGAGUACCAGUGUCGAAAAAGUUGCAAAUCCUGUAAUUUGUCGUAAAAAACGUAGCGUUGCAGAGAUAGACGGCAAAGACUUUUCGCUGGACACCACAUAUAAAAAUUGAAAUGGCACAGUAUGUGGUCGACAAUUAUACCGCGUUUAAGCUCGACCGGCAGUACGAACUAGAUUUGAAAAGGUUCGAGAUGGACAAAGAGCUGCGACUAAAAGAACUGGAAUGCGCAAACAAAAAUCUAGAGAAAGGACGAGAAAAUUCAGCGAAGCUUAGCGAAGCCGAAAACAAAAUACUGGAACUCAAAAUUCAAUUGGAAAUUCUUAAAUCUAAGUCCUGAAUAUGAGAUUUAUAAAACUGUUUAUUGCUGCUGCAUAAAAUGAAUUAUUUGAGAUAA
Folsomia candida is the source of this 759-nucleotide long non-coding RNA. RefSeq lists it as uncharacterized. The record is from RefSeq and is a predicted model, not a curated record. The transcript has 2 exons. NCBI's taxonomy places the organism in Eukaryota, Metazoa, Arthropoda, Collembola, Entomobryomorpha, Isotomidae.